AACCUUCCGAACGUUGACCUCGAAUCAGGUAGGACUAC
Molecule: ribosomal RNA, 38 nt
Filed under: Cordyceps coccidioperitheciata
Lineage: Eukaryota; Fungi; Ascomycota; Sordariomycetes; Hypocreales; Cordycipitaceae
Description: partial 28S ribosomal RNA
Source: RNAcentral